Paramuricea clavata is the source of this 323-nucleotide non-coding RNA. The record is from the annotation of a GenBank genome assembly. NCBI's taxonomy places the organism in Eukaryota, Metazoa, Cnidaria, Anthozoa, Malacalcyonacea, Plexauridae.
GCCGGCGCAGCCAUUAACUCCAAACUUAGAUAAAUGGCUCCACAUAAUUUUUGGACUUUUUAGCCAGUAACUCUAGGUUUAGAUAGCUAGCUAGCUGUUGCUUGCAAGGAGUGUGUUAAAAUUAUAUCGAUUUAAAGAAUACUAUUAUGGUUUCAUGAACUGAUAAAUUAGCGAUAUGGUCUGUUGGAAUUAGUUGGGAAAAAUGGUAUAAAAGCUGUUUAUGGGACUGUCAAUUUCCGCUAUCUUUGGCUUCACUUUUCCCAUAGGCCGAAUGACUGAAGUUCUUGUUCAAGAUACGUACAAAGCUCAAUGACAUACGCCCG